This 86-nucleotide transfer RNA is filed under the name Bacteroidales bacterium. Its description in RNAcentral is "tRNA-Leu". It matches the Rfam family "tRNA". Rfam says of the family: Transfer RNA (tRNA) molecules are approximately 80 nucleotides in length. Lineage: Bacteria; Pseudomonadati; Bacteroidota; Bacteroidia; Bacteroidales. The record is from RNAcentral.
GCCCAGGUGGCGGAAUUGGUAGACGCGCUGGACUUAAAAUCCAGUGGCCAUUUACGGCCGUACCGGUUCGAUCCCGGUCCCGGGCA